Molecule: ribosomal RNA, 602 nt
Filed under: uncultured bacterium
Lineage: Bacteria
Description: bacterial SSU rRNA
Rfam family: Bacterial small subunit ribosomal RNA
Source: RNAcentral
CCGGCAUCGGGAAGAGGGAAAAGGAGCAAUCCGCUUUGAGAUGGCCUCGCGUCCGAUUAGCUGGUUGGUGAGGUAACGGCCCACCAAGGCGACGAUCGGUAGCCGGACUGAGAGGUUGAACGGCCACAUUGGGACUGAGACACGGCCCAGACUCCUACGGGAGGCAGCAGUGGGGAAUAUUGCACAAUGGGGGAAACCCUGAUGCAGCGACGCCGCGUGGAGGAAGAAGGUCUUCGGAUUGUAAACUCCUGUUGUUGAGGAAGAUAAUGACGGUACUCAACAAGGAAGUGACGGCUAACUACGUGCCAGCAGCCGCGGUAAAACGUAGGUCACAAGCGUUGUCCGGAAUUACUGGGUGUAAAGGGAGCGCAGGCGGGCGAUCAAGUUGGAAGUGAAAUCCAUGGGCUCAACCCAUGAACUGCUUUCAAAACUGGUCGUCUUGAGUAGUGCAGAGGUAGGCGGAAUUCCCGGUGUAGCGGUGGAAUGCGUAGAUAUCGGGAGGAACACCAGUGGCGAAGGCGGCCUACUGGGCACCAACUGACGCUGAGGCUCGAAAGUGUGGGUAGCAAACAGGAUUAGAUACCCUGGUAGUCCACACCGUA